This is a long non-coding RNA of Sinocyclocheilus grahami, 2075 nucleotides long. Ensembl annotates it as bone marrow proteoglycan-like. The record is from Ensembl. Lineage: Eukaryota; Metazoa; Chordata; Actinopteri; Cypriniformes; Cyprinidae.
CUGGGGUUGUCCCUAUUUUACCCAGCAAUGGGUUGUAUUUAACCCAGCAUUUUUUAGAGUGUGCAAUUAAGAUAACAUGAUAGAGAUAAUAUGUCGUUUUACAGCUUUUCUUCUAUGGGUUUAGGUUUCAUAUGAACAGGGCUGCAUUGUUCAUGCGUAAUACUUUUGAGACCUCACACUCACUCUGAGGCUUGUGGGUAUGAAACUUUUGAUGGCUGCUUUAUCCACAGUAUUCCUUUCCUCAGUAUGACAUGGCAUUUUGAUAUACCCGUUGCUUAUAACACCUGUCCACAGUGUCAGUUGCUGUGCUGUUGUCAAAUCCACACAUGAUGUUAGCCUAUGCUCCCACACACACACUCCACUCCGCUGUUAUUAGUAUGGGAAAAUGUAACAGUACUGAUAAAUAAAGAGCCUGUGUGUUCAAGCUUUUGACAAGUAGUAUACAGAGAGACUGCACAAUUAUGUCCUCUUUGUCCUGGACAUGUUCUGGGCGUGAUUUCUAAAUUGCCUAGCUUUGGGUUUUAUCUUUGUUUUCCUAUAUUAGUUUUAUACUCGCUGAAGAUAAUGACUGAAGUUUGACCAAUAGAGCACAGGCUUCGUACACAAUCAACCAAUUGUGGUGAGCGAGAAGAUAGGAUCUACAGAGAACGGUCAAAGCAUGCGAAGAUAAGACAAAGGCCAUAAAACUGUCCUAAAGGUCUUUUAUAAGAAGCACUGACUGGAUCUCACAGCACUGAGAGAAACGCAGGUGAAGAGUCAAUACAGACCAACAAGAUCAACACAUGAAAGCAACUCUUAGAAGAUUUUUGACAAGAUGAGAAAAUUACUCUUGCUGGUUCUCACCAUAACAGCUUCUGUAGCUUCUGCCAGUCCACUUCAGGAUGAGAAGCUUCCUGAUCAAGUGGUGAAGGUGCCGGCGGUUGAGAAAGAACCAAGGGUAGAGCACACAGAAGCAGAGCAAGGUCCUCUAAUGCAGGAUGAAACUGUUGCAGAUUCACGUAUGUUGGAGCCUGAUUCAGUGCUGCUGGGGCCAGAGACAACAGAGGAACACAGAGUACCAGAAGAGACACAAGUGAUGUUGGAGGAACCGAUGCUAGAGGCAGAUUACCUGACUGAAGAGAUGCCAGAGACAGAACUAGAGCCUGAGCCAGAAAUAACUGCCAUUCAGAUGAACAGAAACAUCAUACCUGUGGAGGAAGCUGUACAACAGUUAGAGUCUGAAACUAAUAUAGAGGUGGAAGAUGAAAAAGAAGAAAAUGUAGUAAAGGAGGAGCCUACACUUGAGGCUGAUUAUAUAGAGGUUGAAGAUCCAGAAAUACAAAUGGAACUUGGGAGGGAAAGACGAAGGACACAGAUUGGGAGAUGGACUUGUAGAGGAGUUGUCCUACAGGGCAAAUGUUACCAGUACUUCACAAGAAACCUUGAUGCCUAUACUGCUGAGUUACAAUGUCAAUCUAUCUGCCCCAAUGGCCACCUGGCCUCUGUGACAAGCAGCUACAUUCGUGACGGAAUGGGCAAGUUAAUGGACCGGUAUGGCGGGCGCACUCGCGCAUGGCUUGGAGGACGGAGAAUCAUUGGUGUAUGUUCAUUUGUUUUGCAGUGUUUCACUUUUUCACAUGGUUUAUUCAUUUCUCCACCAUAUCUGUCCCUCUAGUAAGUCACUUUCCUGUUUUGACAGACAAAUAAUUUUGUUUGGUUGGAUGGAACGCAGUGGAGCUAUAAUGGCUGGGCUUUUGGAGAGCCCAAUAAUGCUGGUGGGAUGGAGAAUUGCGUGGAGACGUGGAGUAAGUGUUGCUACUGAACAACAGUUAACAAAAAUCUGUCAAUAAAAAGUCACAUUCAUUGCACAGAUCCAAAGGAAUAAUAUAUAAAUAUUAACUCCUUCACCUAAGUUUUAUUCUCUGUGUUCCUUUUGUAGUGAUGCCUUCCUCUUUUCAUGAUCUGUCUUUACCAGUUUUUACAAAGCUUUGUCUAUUUUCAGAUGAUCUGGCGUUCAGUGAUGUACCAUGCGCAAUACCCAAACCGUUCAUCUGUUCCUGUCCAGUUUAGACAGCCAGAAGGUUAACCUAACCUGC